GACGAACGCUGGCGGCGUGCCUAACACAUGCAAGUCGCACGGGACCCGCAAGGGUUCAGUGGCGGACGGGUGCGUAACACGUGAGGAACAUGCCUAUCGGCGGGGGAUAGCCGGCCCAACGGCCGGGUAAUACCGCGUACGCUCACUGGGGGGCAUCCCCUGGUGAGGAAAGCAGCAAUGCACCGAUAGAGUGCCUCGCGGCCUAUCAGCUAGUUGGUGAGGUAAUGGCUCACCAAGGCUACGACGGGUAGCUGGUCUGAGAGGAUGAUCAGCCACAUUGGGACUGAGACACGGUCCAGACUCCUACGGGAGGCAGCAGUGGGGAAUCUUGCGCAAUGGCCGAAAGGCUGACGCAGCGACGCCGCGUGUGGGAUGACGGCCUCGGUUGUAA
RNAcentral lists this ribosomal RNA (391 nucleotides) under uncultured bacterium. RNAcentral's name for it is "bacterial SSU rRNA". It matches the Rfam family "Bacterial small subunit ribosomal RNA", at positions 28 to 428 of the family's 1533-position model. The record is from RNAcentral.